RNAcentral lists this long non-coding RNA (1502 nucleotides) under Lupinus angustifolius (narrow-leaved blue lupine). Its description in RNAcentral is "long non-coding RNA (LANG_LNC000282)". The record is from RNAcentral. Lineage: Eukaryota; Viridiplantae; Streptophyta; Magnoliopsida; Fabales; Fabaceae.
UGUGCAUCAAACCCAGGCUUCGAGAUUCUUCAAAACUUCUGGUCUUUCAUCUAGGGUAUGUGGAUAUGGCUCCCUCACACUUGGCUUAAAUAACGGACAACUUGCAGCUGCAAUUCGUUUCCUCUUCAAAGACAAAACUGGUUGUGGUGCUUCUUUCCAGUAAAAAAAAAACCCACUUCCUGCACAAACAAAAAAAGAAAGUACCAUGGCAUUGGUGAGUGAUCUUAAUCACAUUAACCAAACAAAAUUUGUCUAAGGCUUGAACCUGUGACCCAGAAAUGAACAAAUCAGAAAUGGUGGAAUUCAUCAAAUAAAUAAUCAAAUCUAUACCGAAAGUUGUCUAAGGCAUUAACAUCAUCUCCAUCUCUUAGGACCAAAUUACUAGAAUCUAAAAGUCAAACUAUGAAUUUAAAGAGGAGAACAAUUACAAAGAUACUGAAAUAAAAAGAGGGCAUAUCCAAAACAUACACCAAGUCAAGACAAAUAUAUGCACCAACAGAAGACGACCCCAACCUAGUCUCUAAUAUGUUUACACUCACUACCGUAGGGAUUAAUGACCAGAUCAUUGGAGUAGUCAUUGAAGCUAUGGCAAAGACAAUUCUAAAUCUACCUAAGUCAACAUUUCAACAAUAAGUGGAAAUAGACACAUUUAGGAUGUCAUGACAGUUGCAAAGAAGAUUUUGUUUGGUUAUCAGUUGCAAAGAUUAUCAGUAGUGUUAAAUGGAGCUAAUUGUUAAGGAGAGGCAAAGAGACUAUACCAUUUGAUUCCCUUGCCCAUAACCAUGGGAAUGUUAUGAUUGCUUGCAUAAUUGAAACUGUUAUGAUCAGAGCAUUCAUAUGUUUAAUUCAAAAAGAGGAAUCAUCCGAGAGUUACAAAAAAGGGGUAUCUUUUCAUUUCAGUCAUAUGCAAGAUUUCAAAAGAGACAUAUAAAGGAGAUACACAUCAGAAAUCAUUGGAUGUUGGGAUAUUUUAAUUUCAGUUACACAUUAUCAUUAUCAGCAUCAUUGGUAGUAUUCAUUGUCAGCCUUAAUGCAUUAAAUCAGAAAAUCAAAAGGGUCAUGGCACUUUACAUAUUUUUGGCAAGUCAUAAGGUUUUCACAAACCAACAAAUGACCCAUAACCAGCUAUAAAAGGGGUCGGCACAGAAAACCAGAGGAUACAACAGAGAACAGAUAACACAACAGAGAGACAAAAAGAGAUAUCAUACAUACACACGUAGAAAAAGAGAUUAUUCGAAAAAACCAUAGUGCUGAAAAGAAAGGGUAUACAACUAAAAAAUAACAGAACAGUAAAGAGAAGAUGCACGAUAAGAACAAAGGUAUUCCAAAUGGCAUACCCAUUUAUCUGCAGGUUCAUCCUCUUCUUUACUCAACCAUAUUAGUUUAAUUUCAUUUUUAUUUGUGUUCCUAUCAUUAUGUGUUCAUAAUUAUGACAUAAACCCAGAUCUUUAAUAGAAAAGUAACCAACAUAUAAAUUCAAACACAAAGAAAGAAGAACAUAC